AUGUAUCAUUUUAUUUUGAUCUUGUCAGAUCUCACAAGCAAAGUACAUUUAGGGCUGGUCAGUAUUUGGAUGAGAGAUUUCGAAGGAAAAUCCAGCCAUGGUGCUCC
RNAcentral lists this ribosomal RNA (107 nucleotides) under Gopherus agassizii (Agassiz's desert tortoise). Lineage: Eukaryota; Metazoa; Chordata; Testudines; Testudinidae. The record is from RNAcentral.